RNAcentral lists this ribosomal RNA (468 nucleotides) under uncultured bacterium. RNAcentral's name for it is "partial 16S ribosomal RNA". It matches the Rfam family "Bacterial small subunit ribosomal RNA", at positions 28 to 507 of the family's 1533-position model. The record is from RNAcentral.
GAUGAACGCUGGCGGCGUGCUUAACACAUGCAAGUCGAACGGAAAGGCCGAAGCUUGCUUCGGUACUCGAGUGGCGAACGGGUGAGUAACACGUGGGUGAUCUGCCCUGUACUUCGGGAUAAGCUUGGGAAACUGGGUCUAAUACCGGAUGUGACGAUCUCUUGGAUGGGGUUGUGGAAAGCUUUUGCGGUAUGGGAUGAGCUCGCGGCCUAUCAGCUUGUUGGUGGGGUAAUGGCCUACCAAGGCGUCGACGGGUAGCCGGCCUGAGAGGGUGUACGGCCACAUUGGGACUGAGAUACGGCCCAGACUCCUACGGGAGGCAGCAGUGGGGAAUAUUGCACAAUGGGCGCAGGCCUGAUGCAGCGACGCCGCGUGGGGGAUGACGGCCUUCGGGUUGUAAACUCCUUUCGCAAUCGACGAAGCCUUUUGGUGACGGUAGGUUGAGAAGAAGCACCGGCUAACUACGUG